RNAcentral lists this long non-coding RNA (1415 nucleotides) under Gossypium barbadense (sea-island cotton). RNAcentral's name for it is "long non-coding RNA (GBAR_LNC016413)". The record is from RNAcentral. Lineage: Eukaryota; Viridiplantae; Streptophyta; Magnoliopsida; Malvales; Malvaceae.
AAGUUCGUUCUUUAUUUCUUUUGUCUAUGCCAACUCCAAUCGGCAAAAACGUAAAAAUCUUUGGGAUUUCAUAAGGUCUUCGAUUCCGUCAGGUCAUAUUCCAUAGAUUGCUCUUGGUGACUUCAACGCAAUCCUUUAUCCUUCUAAAAAUUUUGGUGGUCUUACUAAUAGAAGGAGAUGUCCCUAGUUCGGAGAAUUUGUGGAGAAAGCCAAGCUGCAUGAUUUGGGUUUUAUAGGGCCUCCUUUUACUUGGAAUCGGGGUGCACUUUUUGAAAUGUUAGAUCGUGCGUUGGGUAAUAAAGCAUGAAUUCGUAAUUUCCCUAAUAGUUUGGUUACUCACUUACCUAAUAUCAAGUCUGACCCCCGUCCUCUUCUUUUGAAUCAAAAUCCGAAGGUUAUUUUACCCAGAGGGAGACCCUUUCGAUUCUUGGAAGGUUGGACUGAACAUCUUGAUUUUGAUGAUUUUAUGAAUGACAAUUGGGUUGUCGCUAGAUACAUGGCUGAUUUCUUAUCCAAGCUUACUCUUAAUUUAAAAGAGUGUAAUAAACAGGUCUACGGGCAUAUCACUACCAAAAAGAGACACAUUGUUCUUAAAAUUGCUAAUGUUUAGAGAAUGAUGGAUCUCUCUGGUUCGAAUUGGUUAACUCAGGUGGAUUUGAAUCUUAGACAGGAGCUUGAAUGUUUUACACCAUGAAGAACUCCUUUGGAAGCAAAAAGAGAGAUGUGAUUGGCUGCAUUUGGGUGAUCGUAACACAAAGUUCUUCCAUUCUUGAACUUUGCAAAGAAGGAAAAGCAACCGCAUAACUUUUAUUCAGAAUGACGACGGGGAUUGAAUCUUUGACCUAGAGGCUUUGAGGCUGAGGCGAAUACUUUUUUCCAAAAGCUCUAUGGGGAAUGUCUUGGUGAUAUUGGUGUUUUUCCUCCUAGUAAGUUUCCUCAGCUAAAGCGUGGUGAUAUUAAUUUUUUAAGGAAGUCGAUCACUAAUGAUGAAAUUAAGUUAAUUUUUUAAGGAAGUCGAUCACUAAUGAUGAAAUUAAGGAUGCCCUUUUUUAUAUGGCUCCUCCAAAAGCUUCGAAAAGUAACGGGUUUCAUGCCCACUUUUUUCAGAAUCAGUAGAGUAAAAUUGGGCGGCAGUUUGUGAUUGGGUCAAAAAGGUGUUUAAUGGAGGUUUUAUUGAGGCUGAAUAACACCCUGAUUGUUCUAAUUCCUAAUGUGGCGAAUCUAGAAGGCUUUGGACAGUUUUGUCGAAUAAGCAAGCAUGUCUUCCCAAAAAUUAUUGCGCAGGAACAUGUUGGCUUUAUUGCAGACAGGAAUAUAACCGAUAACAUUAUCAUCGCUCAAGUGGUAAUUCAUUCCAUGAGACGUCAGAAAAAAAAGGAAAUGGAUGACGAUUAAAAUUGAUCUGGAGAAAGCCU